AUUGAACGCUGGCGGCAGGCCUAACACAUGCGAGUCGAGCGGAUGAAGGGAGCUUGCUCCUGGAUUCAGCGGCGGACGGGUGAGUAAUGCCUAGGAAUCUGCCUGGUAGUGGGGGAUAACGUCCGGAAACGGGCGCUAAUACCGCAUACGUCCUGAGGGAGAAAGUGGGGGAUCUUCGGACCUCACGCUAUCAGAUGAGCCUAGGUCGGAUUAGCUAGUUGGUGGGGUAAAGGCCUACCAAGGCGGCGAUCCGUAACUGGUCUGAGAGGAUGAUCAGUCACACUGGAACUGAGACACGGUCCAGACUCCUACGGGAGGCAGCAGUGGGGAAUAUUGGACAAUGGGCGAAAGCCUGAUCCAGCCAUGCCGCGUGUGUGAAGAAGGUCUUCGGAUUGUAAAGCACUUUAAGUUGGGAGGAAGGGCAGUAAGUUAAUACCUUGCUGUUUUGACGUUACCAACAGAAUAAGCACCGGCUAACUUCGUG
Molecule: ribosomal RNA, 484 nt
Filed under: uncultured bacterium
Lineage: Bacteria
Description: partial 16S ribosomal RNA
Rfam family: Bacterial small subunit ribosomal RNA
Source: RNAcentral